AAGUCGAACGAGGUCCAGGGAAGCUUGCUUCCUGAAGACCUAGUGGCGAACGGGUGAGUAACACGUGAGAAACCUGCCUCGGGAGUGGGGGAAUAACUCGGGGAAACUCGAGCUAAUACCGCAUACCUUCACAUGAUCGCAUGGUCGAGUGAAGAAAGAAUUUCGCUCUGAGAGGGUCUCGCGGCCUAUCAGCUUGUUGGUGGGGUAAACGGCCUACCAAGGCAACGACGGGUAGCUGGUUUGAGAGAACGAUCAGCCACACUGGGACUGAGACACGGCCCAGACUCCUACGGGAGGCAGCAGUGGGGAAUCUUGCGCAAUGGGCGAAAGCCUGACGCAGCAACGCCGCGUGCGGGAUGACGGCCUUCGUGGUUGUAAACCGCUUUCAGCAGGGACGAAAAUGACGGUACCUGCAGAAGAAGCCCCGGCUAACUACGUG
Molecule: ribosomal RNA, 439 nt
Filed under: uncultured bacterium
Lineage: Bacteria
Description: bacterial SSU rRNA
Rfam family: Bacterial small subunit ribosomal RNA
Source: RNAcentral